UACGUAGGGUGCGAGCGUUGUCCGGAUUUAUUGGGCGUAAAGAGCUCGUAGGUGGUCUGUUGCGUCGGUUGUGAAAACCCGGGGCUUAACUCCGGGCCUGCAGUCGAUACGGGCAGACUAGAGUUCGGCAGGGGAGACUGGAAUUCCUGGUGUAGCGGUGAAAUGCGCAGAUAUCAGGAGGAACACCGGUGGCGAAGGCGGGUCUCUGGGCCGAUACUGACACUGAGGAGCGAAAGCGUGGGGAGCGAAC
RNAcentral lists this ribosomal RNA (250 nucleotides) under uncultured bacterium. RNAcentral's name for it is "partial 16S ribosomal RNA". It matches the Rfam family "Bacterial small subunit ribosomal RNA", at positions 524 to 773 of the family's 1533-position model. The record is from RNAcentral.